RNAcentral lists this ribosomal RNA (258 nucleotides) under uncultured bacterium. Its description in RNAcentral is "partial 16S ribosomal RNA". It matches the Rfam family "Bacterial small subunit ribosomal RNA", at positions 524 to 777 of the family's 1533-position model. The record is from RNAcentral.
UACGGGGGGAGCAAGCGUUGUUCGGAUUUACUGGGCGUAAAGGGCGCGUAGGCGGUCGUGACAAGUCACUUGUGAAAUCUCCGGGCUUAACUCGGAACGGUCAAGUGAUACUGUCGGACUAGAGUACAGAAGGGGCAACUGGAAUUCUCGGGUGUAGCGGUGAAAUGCGUAGAUAUCGAGAGGAACACCUGCGGCGAAGGCGGGUUGCUGGGCUGAUACUGACGCUGAGGCGCGAAAAGCCAGGGGGAGCGAACGGGG